AUAAAAAGAACGAGACUGAGCAGGACAGUAGCCAUGUAAGUCAGGAUCACUAAGGAGUGUGUAAUAACUCAUCUGCUGAAUCAACUAGCCCUGAAAAUGGAUGCUGCUGGG
RNAcentral lists this non-coding RNA (111 nucleotides) under Ictidomys tridecemlineatus (thirteen-lined ground squirrel). RNAcentral also lists the same sequence under 1 other name. The record is from Rfam by way of RNAcentral. Lineage: Eukaryota; Metazoa; Chordata; Mammalia; Rodentia; Sciuridae.